Populus nigra (black poplar) is the source of this 2787-nucleotide RNA transcript. It is a transcript of the gene named carbon catabolite repressor protein 4 homolog 1-like, with no coding region annotated. The transcript has 13 exons. Lineage: Eukaryota; Viridiplantae; Streptophyta; Magnoliopsida; Malpighiales; Salicaceae. The record is from RefSeq and is a predicted model, not a curated record.
AACUUACUAUUAUAGUAUUAUCACUAAGAGGAUACUCUCUCCCAACGAAUAACACCUCUCGUUUUGGAAGGGUUCACUUAGUAGCCGAUUUUAGACAUAGCAGAACACCACCGUUACCACCUCCAACACCACCACACAAACCCACGCGCGUCGUAUUUUCAUAUUAUUAUUAUUAUUAUUAUUAUUCACUCUGCCUUUUUCUCUGUAAAACCCUAAUUAUCGAAAUCUCCCCUUUCUCUCCCUCCCUCAAAAAAUUUCAAAAAAUUCUCGCUCCCCCUCUCUCUGGAAAUUUCUCGAUCAUCUCCCUAGUCGAUCCAUCGCUCUCUAAACCCUAACUUGAAUUUCACUUGUAAUUUCUUGAGAUCUGCUGUUUAUUUUUUUAAUUGGGAAAUCUAGGGUUUUUGAUUGAUUGAUUGAUUUAGGCUGGCGGGUAAUCGGUUCAAUUAGAUGGCGGAUCCGCCAGAUAAUAUCCGCCGAUUGAUUUUAUUAUCGAUGAUAGUGUUACAGUGUGAUUAGGAAAGUGAAGUGUAACAAAAAAAACUUUGAAGAAGAAAAUAAAAGCAUGCUGAGCGUGCUGCGUGUGCAUCUUCCAUCGGAUAUUCCUAUUGUUGGCUGUGAGUUAACGCCGUAUGUUGUUUUACGGCGACCUGAUAAGGAUUUUAUUACCGAUGAUGUGCCCGAGUCUGCCCCUCUUGACGGUCAUUUCUUGAGAUAUAAGUGGUAUCGGAUACAGAGUGAUAGAAAAGUUGCUGUAUGUAGCGUACAUCCAUCUGAGCAUGCUACACUGCAGUGUAUAGGUUGUGUUAAGGCCAAAAUACCUGUUGCCAAAAGUUACCAUUGCUCUCCCAAGUGCUUCUCUGAUGCAUGGCAGCAUCAUCGUGUUCUACAUGAUCGAGCUGCAAGUGCUGUAAAUGAAAAUGGAAAUGAGGAGGAAGAGUUGUUUGGGCGUUAUAAUAGCUCAGGAUCUGGAGUUCUUAAUACUAGUUUAUCUGGUUCUGCAUCAAGUGCUAGCUUGACAAAUGGUUCCACGCCUUUGUAUCCUGCGGCGGUGACACAGAGGAGUGGUGAAACUUGGUUUGAGGUUGGGCGUUCCAAAAUAUAUACACCAUCAGCUGAUGAUAUUGGCCAUGUUCUCAAGUUUGAAUGCGUUGUGGUAGAUGCAGAAACUAAAUUACCUGUAGGACAUCCAAACACACUAUUAACUUCCCGUGUCAUUCCAGCCCCCUCCCCAACUCCACGUCGUUUGAUCCCAGUUAGUGGACUUGAUGCAAUGGUGCCUUUAGAUUUGGAUGGUCGUAUCUCAUCAACUGGAACCUUUACUGUGCUCUCAUACAACAUUUUAUCUGAUGUGUAUGCUACAAAUGAAACAUACAGUUAUUGUCCUUCAUGGGCUCUUUCUUGGCCAUAUCGUCGACAGAACUUACUGAGGGAAAUAGUUGGCUAUCGUGCAGACAUUGUUUGUCUUCAGGAGGUACAAAGUGAUCAUUAUGAGGAAUUUUUCGCCCCUGAGCUGGACAAGCAUGGUUAUCAAGCCCUAUAUAAGAGAAAAACUAACGAGGUCUAUGCUGGAAAUACCCAUACAAUUGAUGGUUGUGCAACAUUUUUCCGCAGAGAUAGAUUUUCACAUGUUAAAAAAUAUGAGGUUGAAUUUAAUAAGGCUGCUCAGUCUUUGACUGAUGCGCUGGUUCCAAGUGCUCAAAGAAAAACUGCUCUAAAUCGAUUAGUUAAGGAUAAUGUUGCAUUAAUAGUUGUUCUGGAAGCAAAAUUUAGUAAUCAAGGAGUUGAUAAUCCUGGGAAGCGGCAGCUACUUUGUGUUGCAAAUACACAUAUAAAUGUUCAGCAGGAUUUAAAGGAUGUCAAGCUUUGGCAGGUCCUUACUCUCUUGAAAGGAUUGGAGAAAAUAGCUGCUAGUGCUGACAUUCCUAUGUUGGUGUGUGGAGAUUUCAAUUCAGUUCCUGGAAGUGCUCCUCAUUCUCUUCUUGCAAUGGGUAAGGUGGAUCCAUUGCAUCCGGAUUUAGUAGUAGACCCUCUUGGAAUCUUACGGCCUCACAACAAGCUUACACAUCAGUUGCCGCUGGUCAGUGCAUACUCAUCUUUUGCAAGAGUGGGCGUUGGUCUUGGUUCAGAUCAGCAGAGGAGGAGAAUGGACGCUACAACAAAUGAACCCUUAUUUACGAAUUGCACUAGAGACUUUAUCGGUGCUCUAGAUUAUAUAUUUUACACAGCCGACUCUUUAAUGGUGGAGUCUUUGUUGGAACUAUUGGAUGAGGAAAGCUUGAGGAAAGACACAGCCCUUCCUUCUCCAGAGUGGUCUUCAGAUCAUAUAGCACUUCUUGCUGAAUUUCGUUGCAAGAAUAGACCAAGACGUUGACACUACAGGAUUAGAGAUCCCAAGGCAAUGACCUGCAGAUAUGGAUCGAUUUAAGCUAUUUUUUCAGCUUCAGGAGUAGAAAGAUUUGGGGCAUCCCACUGUUCUCAUUUUGGAAUUUCAUUAGAUGGAGUCACCGGCCGGACACCUUAACUGGAAAAAACGCACAGAUGAAGUGCCUGAGUCCUUGAUGAGCUCGGUAAUCACCGUUUCUCCAAGGAAAAAAGAAUGUGGUUAUGUAACCAGUCAGUGGAGAAUUGAGGAAAUUUGAAGGAUAAUAUAGAAUCUUCAUUACUCGCAGCUGUAAAACAAAAGGUAUCCUUAAAAGGAAUGAAAUUCCGUGAGUACCACUAAAAGGAGAGAACUGUUUGGUUCUUAAAAAAUACAUUUAUGGAUAAUAUAUAGUUAUUAUGCAAGAA